Molecule: ribosomal RNA, 459 nt
Filed under: uncultured bacterium
Lineage: Bacteria
Description: partial 16S ribosomal RNA
Rfam family: Bacterial small subunit ribosomal RNA
Source: RNAcentral
CCUACGGGGGGCAGCAGUGAGGAAUAUUGGUCAAUGGCCGGGAGGCUGAACCAGCCAAGUCGCGUGAGGGAAGACGGCCCUACGGGUUGUAAACCUCUUUUGUCAGGAAGUAAGGUGCAGGUCGGGACCUGCUUAGAGAGUACCUGAAGAAAAAGCAUAGGCGAACUCCGUCCCAGCAGCCGCGGUAAUACGGAGGAUGCGAGCGUUAUCCGGAUUUAUUGGGUUUAAAGGGUGCGCAGGCGGAGGCACAAGUCAGCGGUAAAAUCGCGUGGCUCAACCCCGCUCCGCCGUUGAAACUGUGUGCCUUGAGUGCGCGAAGGGUACGCGGAAUGCGUGGUGUAGCGGUGAAAUGCAUAGAUAUCACGCAGAACUCCGAUGGCGAAGGCAGUCUACCGGCGCGAAACUGACGCUCAUGCACGAAAGCGUGGGUAUCGAACAGGAUUAGAUACCCGAGUAGUC